Molecule: long non-coding RNA, 319 nt
Organism: Medicago truncatula (barrel medic)
Lineage: Eukaryota; Viridiplantae; Streptophyta; Magnoliopsida; Fabales; Fabaceae
Exons: 2
Source: RefSeq, a predicted model, not a curated record
GUUAUGAACUCUUUGUCAUGUCUUACUGCAGAAGGUUGCAGAACCAAGCAAGGCUUGAGAUUUCAACAACAACUGCUAAGAAGUUGCUGUCCGGGUUGUGAUUUUUAUCUUUUGUGAAGAGAAGCCAGUUUUGGGCAAUUUUAUUAGUGUUGUUUGCAUAGCACUUAGGUAUGGUUUAGGACUAAUUACAGCUUUUAGAAUUCUAUUGUUAUGCAUUAUUGUCUCUUGGUAAUAAGUUGUAACAUUUUGUGGAAUUCAACCCCGGCUGCUGAUAAAUUAGUUUGCCGAGAUUGGUUUUUAAUGUUCAACAACUUUCUCA